This 2105-nucleotide long non-coding RNA is filed under the name Brassica napus (rape). RNAcentral's name for it is "long non-coding RNA (BNAP_LNC006527)". The record is from RNAcentral. Lineage: Eukaryota; Viridiplantae; Streptophyta; Magnoliopsida; Brassicales; Brassicaceae.
CCCCUAAAGAGCUUGUCCACCGUGAGAGACAACUGCUCAUAGCUAUCAUGCGCACUGAGAUCUACUUUACGACCAAUGGGAACACCGUACAUGUUGAUCUUCACGAACAAGCCUCCUUGCCUCUUUGGUUCCUUUGUCUUCUCUCGGCCGUUAUCAUCAUCACACUUUUGGUUUUUUAGGACGGAGGUGGACUCGUUUCCAAGCUUUGAAGAGCUUCCAUUAGCUAAAUUCUUCCUGAAGGAUCGAACGGGAGGCCAACCCACCACUGGACCAGGAGCAUUUCUUUAACACAAGACAUCAAAGAAAGUAAGAAACAUGUUCCAAAACAGAGCCAGUACUAUGAAGAGUCUGAAAAAAAAUGAAACUAAGGCAGCAAAACGACAAAAACAGAUAAUACAAAAGUAUGAUGAUCUUAAGCAGACAUGAAAUAAACUUGAUAAUCAAACUUGCACAUGUGUGAAGUAAAAACUUUGAGAUCUAAUCUUAAGCAGACAUGAAAAAAUAGUUUUUGAUUGGUUAACUUCAAGUAAAUGUCAUCAUGUCAAAAGGAUACAAAACAGAUAAAAACAAAAAUAAGAGACGUAAAAUCAAAAGGGCGAGGUAAAAAGUAAAAAUGGUUUUAAACCUUUUCUGAGAUGUGGGUUUGUUGGUGGUGAUGGAAGGAGAGAAGUGGUGGUUGCCAGCGAGAGAGAGGAUAGAUUUGUCUUUUUGUUCUUUCUUGAUGCGUCGUAUCAACGAUGAACCAUAUUCGUCUUCAUCUUCACCAGGUGGUCCAAGCUUUAGCUCAAGAUUCUUCUCUUCCGUGUUGUAAACAGAGGCUUUCUCAUGGUGAAACCAAUUUCUUCUCCCUUGUGGAAUCAAAUGGAGCAGCUUUGGUGAUAUUUCACCGUUUCUUGAAGAACCCUCCAUUAGUUUUUUUACAGAAACUUGCGUUCUUUGACCAAAAGAAAGAAAGAGAGUUCGACAAGCAAAUAGUUGUCUACAACUUGUUCACGCAAAAAGAACAAAAGAUUUGUUUAAAACCCAUCAGAACCCAUAACUUGAAAAUCGUCAAAAUGAAAACUUUUCUUGUCUUUAUUCUGGUCAGAGCAAAGAGAAAACCUCAGCAACUCACAAAACCCUUAAAAACAGAGGAGAGAGAAAGAGAGAGGAGGUGAAAUGAUGUGAGAAGCUAGAGAGGUGGAGUAGUGGGUCUUUUUAUACAAAUCAAAGCUUUGGUUUUGUAAAUAAAAAAAAAUGUAAACUUUUUGGUGGGUUCUUCCCUUCCCUUUACUUCACUUUAUUCUCUCUCUCUCUCUUUCUAGAUUCUCAAAAGGGAGGAGAUUUUUGGGAAUACGGCGAAAAGGGAGAACAGAGGCAAAGUCAGAAGGAGAGACAGUGAUUAAACCAGAGGAAAAGCAAAAGGGAUCAAAACCACAACGUUAAUAAAACAAGAGACCAAGAAAAAAAAAACAGUAAAUAUAUUACUAUUAAAAGGAAUUUAUUGGUGUGAAACACACGCAAUCUUCUUCUCUCUUUCUUAUAGCCGUAGGGUGGUUAACUGCUCAUAGCUAUUAUGCGCACUGAGGUCUACUUUACGACCAAUGGGAACACCGUACAUGUUGAUCUUCACGAACAAGCCUCCUUGCCUCUUUGGUUCCUUUAUCUUCUCUCGGCCGUUAUCAUCAUCACACUUUUGGUUUUUUAGGACGGAGGUGGACUCGUUUCCAAGCUUUGAAGAGCUUCCAUUAGCUAAAUUCUUCCUGAAGGAUCGAACGGGAGGCCAACCCACCACUGGACCAGGAGCAUUUCUUUAACACAAGACAUCAAAGAAAGUAAGAAACAUGUUCCAAAACAGAGCCAGUACUAUGAAGAGUCUGAAAAAAAAUGAAACUAAGGCAGCAAAACGACAAAAACAGAUAAUACAAAAGUAUGAUGAUCUUAAGCAGACAUGAAAUAAACUUGAUAAUCAAACUUGCACAUGUGUGAAGUAAAAACUUUGAGAUCUAAUCUUAAGCAGACAUGAAAAAAUAGUUUUUGAUUGGUUAACUUCAAGUAAAUGUCAUCAUGUCAAAAGGAUACAAAACAGAUAAAAACAAAAAUAAGAGACGUAAAAUCAAAAGGGC